This 253-nucleotide ribosomal RNA is filed under the name uncultured bacterium. RNAcentral describes it as "partial 16S ribosomal RNA". It matches the Rfam family "Bacterial small subunit ribosomal RNA", at positions 524 to 776 of the family's 1533-position model. The record is from RNAcentral.
UACGGGGGGUGCAAGCGUUGCUCGGAAUCACUGGGCGUAAAGCGUCCGCAGGCGGCUUGAUAAGUCGGGUGUGAAAGCCCGGGGCUCAACCCCGGAACUGCAUUCGAAACUGUCUCGCUUGAGUACGGGAGAGGGUCGUGGAAUUCCUGGUGUAGAGGUGAAAUUCGUAGAUAUCAGGAGGAACACCGGUGGCGAAAGCGGCGACCUGGCCCGAUACUGACGCUCAUGGACGAAAGCGUGGGGAGCAAACAGG